GUGGAGUUAACAUGCUACAAGAAGAAGAAAAAGUCAUAACAGCUUAAAAUGAUUCCUCUGGUGGCGGAGUUAGCAAGCUACAAGAAGAAAAAGUCAUAACAGGUUUAUUAGAUGGAAGUGGAGAGUAUACUCUUGCUUAUGAGGAUAACGAAGGAGAUAGAAUGUUUGUUAGAAAUGUGCCAUGGCAAAAUCUCCUAGGGGAAGAAUUGAUAAUUUAGAUUUUAACGAAAUUGAACGGCCUGAGCAUCGGCUGGACUCUCCAUUGAAGCAAAUUAGGCCUAAAAAGUAACAAGGUAUGCAAAUUUAGUAGCCGACUCUCAUCAACUUUAUAUUGAGUUCAAUGGGCUGAUAUCAUUAUGGUAAUUAGAGAUUAUGUUGGUAAUUAGAAAUUAUGUUGGUUGAUUACCUUUAAUUUGUUCAUAGUUGCUUAUGUGUGAUCGUAGUUUAUCGGGAUUUGGUGGCAUAUAUACAACUAGCUUUAAAGAUUUUCACUUAGUAAUUUUUGGUAUACUGAAUGCUUCACUAACAAAGAAAUUUUGCACUGUAAUUUUUCUCAUUUAUUUAUUAAAUUACUGAGACAGAUGUGGACUUCAAGAUCAAGCUUUUACAAUUGAUGGCAAAAGAGUGAAGUACUAUUUGGGAC
Long non-coding RNA from Arachis duranensis, 643 nucleotides. RefSeq lists it as uncharacterized. Lineage: Eukaryota; Viridiplantae; Streptophyta; Magnoliopsida; Fabales; Fabaceae. The record is from RefSeq and is a predicted model, not a curated record. The transcript is spliced from 3 exons.